CAGCCGCCACGGGAAUACAGAGGAUGCAAGCGUUAUCCGGAGUGAUUGGGCGUAAAGCGUCUGUAGGUGGCUUUUCAAGUCCACCGUCAAAUCCCAGGGCUCAACCCUGGACAGGCGGUGGAAACUACCAAGCUAGAGUACGGUAGGGGCAGAGGGAAUUUCCGGUGGAGCAGUGAAAUGCGUCGAGAUCGGAAAGAACACCAACGGCGAAAGCACUCUGCUGGGCCGACACUGACACUGAGAGACGAAAGCUAGGGGAGCAAAUGGGAUUAGAUACCCCCGUAGUCCCUGUCUCUUAUAA
RNAcentral lists this ribosomal RNA (301 nucleotides) under uncultured bacterium. RNAcentral describes it as "partial 16S ribosomal RNA". It matches the Rfam family "Bacterial small subunit ribosomal RNA", at positions 509 to 809 of the family's 1533-position model. The record is from RNAcentral.